RNAcentral lists this ribosomal RNA (253 nucleotides) under uncultured bacterium. Its description in RNAcentral is "partial 16S ribosomal RNA". It matches the Rfam family "Bacterial small subunit ribosomal RNA", at positions 524 to 776 of the family's 1533-position model. The record is from RNAcentral.
UACGUAGGGUGCAAGCGUUGUCCGGAAUUAUUGGGCGUAAAGAGCUCGUAGGCGGUCUGUUGCGUCGGCUGUGAAAACCCGGGGCUCAACCCCGGGCCUGCAGCCGAUACGGGCAGACUAGAGUUCGGCAGGGGAGACUGGAAUUCCUGGUGUAGCGGUGAAAUGCGCAGAUAUCAGGAGGAACACCGGUGGCGAAGGCGGGUCUCUGGGCCGAUACUGACGCUGAGGAGCGAAAGCGUGGGGAGCGAAUAGG